This 511-nucleotide ribosomal RNA is filed under the name Orchesia sp. ORM1. Its description in RNAcentral is "partial 16S ribosomal RNA". The stretch from base 385 to 511 matches the Rfam family "Bacterial large subunit ribosomal RNA", at positions 2473 to 2600 of the family's 2925-position model. Lineage: Eukaryota; Metazoa; Arthropoda; Insecta; Coleoptera; Melandryidae. The record is from RNAcentral.
GUCUUUUUGAUUAUAAUUUAAAGUCAAGCCUGCUCUAUGAAAUUUUAAAUGGCCGCAGUAUUUUGACUGUGCAAAGGUAGCAUAAUCAUUAGUUUCUUAAUUAGAAGCUGGAAUGAAGGGUUUAAUGAAAAAAAAACUGUCUUAAUUUAAAAAUUAAAACUUUAUUUUUAAGUUAAAAAGCUUAAAUUUAUUAAAAAGACGAGAAGACCCUAUAGAGUUUAAUAAAUUUAAUUUUAUAAAAUUUUAAGAUUUAAAUAAAUUAUAAAUUUAUGGUUUAUUUUAUUGGGGUGAUAAAAAAAUUUGUAAAACUUUUUAAAAUAUAAGUUCAUUAAUAUAUGAAAUUUUGAUCCUAAGUUUUAGAUUAAAAGAAAAAAUUACCUUAGGGAUAACAGCGUAAUUUUUUUUGAAAGUUCUUAUUGAAAAAAAAGAUUGCGACCUCGAUGUUGGAUUAAAAUUUAAUUUUGGUGUAGAAGCUAAAAUAUUAAGUCUGUUCGACUUUUAAAAUUUUACA